AGUAAAGUCAGCUAAAUAAGCUUUCGGGCCCAUACCCCGAACAUGUUGGUUAAAACCCCUCCUUUACUG
RNAcentral lists this transfer RNA (69 nucleotides) under Lucania goodei (bluefin killifish). Its description in RNAcentral is "tRNA-Met". It matches the Rfam family "tRNA". Rfam says of the family: Transfer RNA (tRNA) molecules are approximately 80 nucleotides in length. Their secondary structure includes four short double-helical elements and three loops (D, anti-codon, and T loops). Further hydrogen bonds mediate the characteristic L-shaped molecular structure. tRNAs have two regions of fundamental functional importance: the anti-codon, which is responsible for specific mRNA codon recognition, and the 3' end, to which the tRNAs corresponding amino acid is attached (by aminoacyl-tRNA synthetases). tRNAs cope with the degeneracy of the genetic code in two manners: having more than one tRNA (with a specific anti-codon) for a particular amino acid; and 'wobble' base-pairing, i.e. permitting non-standard base-pairing at the 3rd anti-codon position. Lineage: Eukaryota; Metazoa; Chordata; Actinopteri; Cyprinodontiformes; Fundulidae. RNAcentral also lists the same sequence under 1 other name. The record is from RNAcentral.